This is a long non-coding RNA of Catharus ustulatus (Swainson's thrush), 2480 nucleotides long. RefSeq lists it as uncharacterized. NCBI's taxonomy places the organism in Eukaryota, Metazoa, Chordata, Aves, Passeriformes, Turdidae. The record is from RefSeq and is a predicted model, not a curated record. The transcript has 6 exons.
CAGAUAAACUGUACGUGCCCCAUCGCUGGAGGUGUUCAAGGCCUGUUUGGAUGGGGGUCUGAGAAACCUGGUAUAGCAAAGAGUGUACAUGGCAGGGGGAGUUGCAAGUAGAUGAUCUCUUAGUAAGAUGAUCUCUCCCUUCCAACCCAAAACUUCCUGUGAUUCUGUGAAGCCCUGUUUUGUUAUAUACUUAAUUGAUGUGGUGAGCGGAGCAGAACCCAAAUCCCUGCUCUGCCUUAAGUUAACACACAAAUCAUAUUAUGGGUGUGGUUGCCUCUGGAGCCAGGGUGCUGCCAAGCUGCUCCUAUGCAGCCCCAGCCUCUCUGUGCCACACAUAAGGGUGGUUGGGAGCCAGCAGGAAGGGGCUUGUGGACAGACUUUAAUAUAAAACUUAAAGCAACUACUGGGAGGGAUAGGCUACUAAUUUAGAGACUGAAAUGAAAAAUUGCCAAGUUUCAAAGGCUGCUUUUCAAGGCAUUAAGAACAUACCAGAUGUCAGUUGAGGAAGCUGGAAGAAAUUAAAACGUCUGGAAAAGACUAUUUAAAAACUACCUAUCUGGCCUGUGUACUGCUGUUGUGGAAAAUCCCUGGUUGCUUCAGUGACCUCGACUUGGAUGGCUGUGUGCACUCAUGUUGAAAUACACAUUAAAAUCAAGGGAGAGUCUGCAGAGGCCUGGAGAAAACCAAACAAAAAGGAGCUUCAUGGAGCAGUUCAGGCAACAGAUGAAAAUCUGGUGACUCUCUGGUGUUGAUCUCCUCUCCAUGCAGAUGAAGCAUUUAGACUGGAAGCUCUUGAUGUGCUUUCUCUCCCCCACUCAAUUUCCUGAGAUUUGGGGCCAGAAUGGAGUGACCCCUGUCUUGCCAGUUCCAAGCAACUGCUCUCCUGCCAGACCAGUUUCUCUGCUCUUGGACUAGCAGCCGGACUUCAGCUCACUUCAAAGGCAGCUAAAAGAUUGCUGCUGCAGCUUCUCCAAGGCUGGUGAAAGGACAGAGCUUCUUGACUGGGCCAACAAAACCAAGACAGUACAUCAUCUUCAUUGAAGUGGCCAGAAUAUCUCCCUGAGGUUGGAAAACUUUCCUGGAUGUCUGUAGUACUGGACAUCUACCCCACAGAGAAAUUAAUCUGAGCAUUUGAAAAUGGCCACAAUUACUUCAGGAAUAUUUGCAGAAGUGGAAGUGAAAAUUAUCAUCUCCGUAAGAGUUCUGUGAGUCAAGGAUCAGUGAAGAACUAUGGAAAAUGAAGAAUUGAAAUAAUACUAUAAUACAAGUGGAACAUCCAGCAAAAAAUCUCUCUCUGAAUGUGAACAAGGAAAUGUUGACUGGAGUCUCAAGGUGCCUUUAGGAAUUGGACAUUUACUUCCUCGUCUGAAACCAAACAUUACUGGUAUGUAGUUGUUACAAAGAGAACUGGUUUUUUGUUCUCCUGAAAUCUUAGGUCACUUUUUCAAUACUGGUAAACUUGAAUAGGUUCAAGAUUUGUCUGUUUCAAACACAUCUCAGGCUUCACCCGGUCUUCUCCCUUCUGUCUUUCCAUAUGUAAGCAAUCGUGUCUGUCUCGAUAGUAUGUAAAGAUAUGAUAAUUUAUUCAAUAAUAUUUUGUAUUUGUUUGGUUUUCCAGCCGAUGUGAUGCUGUUUGAAAUAGUUUUCUGUAAAACUGACAGGAAGACUGGUUUCUGCCUUUCACUGAGCAUUUAUUAUCUCUCUCUCUCUGUAAAUAGACCUUGCAAAAAUGAAAAAAAUGCUAACAGUGGGUAAGAAUCGUGGAACAGAGACUAAAUAGUUGGAUUCUUUUCUCAGAGCUGCUGCAGAAGUCCUGAAUUAUUGACCUUGGGAUGUGACUGGUCAUAAUGCAGAAGGUCAUAUUAUUUCAGAGGAAAUAAAUAAUAAUUGCCUUUUUUAUAAGAAAUGUAUGUAUCAUUAUCUGCUCAGUUUUGUGUUGUGAUCUACUGGAGGAGUUAAUUUUUUUUCUGGGACAAAUGAGUAACUGUGUCAACUGUGCCAAGAAAAGGAAUUACUUUUGAAGCCCAAAAGACUUUUGAUUUUAUAUAUUUUUCUUAUAUUCCUAGCUCUGUAAACUACUAUUAUGCAGUUACCUAUCUUGUUAAUUAACUCUAGUACAUUUCCCACUCUUUCUCUUAGAUUUUAGAAUAAUCUGAUUUUCUAAAUACAUUCCUGAAAUACUGCAUAGUCUUAUUUUCAGGAAGAGGACCUAUAAGAAGAACAUUUUGUUUUCCAACCAGUAUCUGAGAAGUCGUAACAAAAAGUGGGGCAAAGAAGCCCUUGGACUAACUCCAAGGGGGUGCCCCAGGGGUGGGUUACUGGGUCAACUGAAUUUCCUAUUGGAUGUACCUGUAAGAUAGUCUAAUUUGUUAAUCUUAUAGAAUUGUGGAAAUCGGGUACUGGGUGUUCACCAUUACUACCAGGAUACCUGGAAGCUUCGAAAUAAAGGUCUGCUUUUUUACUUUAUUAUUCUAACAACA